UACGAAGGGGGCUAGCGUUGCUCGGAAUCACUGGGCGUAAAGGGUGCGUAGGCGGGUCUUUAAGUCAGGGGUGAAAUCCUGGAGCUCAACUCCUGAACUGCCUUUGAUACUGAAGAUCUUGAGUUCGGGAGAGGUGAGUGGAACUGCGAGUGUAGAGGUGAAAUUCGUAGAUAUUCGCAAGAACACCAGUGGCGAAGGCGGCUCACUGGCCCGAUACUGACGCUGAGGCACGAAAGCGUGGGGAGCAAACAGG
Molecule: ribosomal RNA, 253 nt
Filed under: uncultured bacterium
Lineage: Bacteria
Description: partial 16S ribosomal RNA
Rfam family: Bacterial small subunit ribosomal RNA
Source: RNAcentral